CCUACGGGAGGCUGCAGUGGGGGAUAUUGCACAAUGGGGGGAACCCUGAUGCAGCGACGCCGCGUGGGUGAAGAAGCGCCUCGGCGCGUAAAGCCCUGUCAGCAGGGAAGAAAAUGACGGUACCUGAAGAAGAAGCCCCGGCUAACUACGUGCCAGCAGCCGCGGGAAUACGGAGGGGGCAAGCGUUAUCCGGAUUUACCGGGUGUAAAGGGGGCGCAGACGGCGAUGCAGGCCAGGAGUGAAAGCCCGGGGCCCAACCCCGGGACUGCUCUUGGAACUGCGUGGCUGGAGUGCAGGAGGGGCAGGCGGAAUUCCUGGUGUAGCGGUGAAAUGCGUAGAUAUCAGGAGGAACACCGGUGGCGAAGGCGGCCUGCUGGACUGCCACUGACAUUGAUGCACGAAAGUGUGGGUAUCAAACAGGAUUAGAUACCCUUGUAGUC
RNAcentral lists this ribosomal RNA (440 nucleotides) under uncultured bacterium. Its description in RNAcentral is "partial 16S ribosomal RNA". It matches the Rfam family "Bacterial small subunit ribosomal RNA", at positions 338 to 795 of the family's 1533-position model. The record is from RNAcentral.